GUAGCAAUACCCAGUGGCGAACGGGUGCGUAACACGUGAGGAACAUGCCCUUCGGCGGGGGAUAGCCGGCCCAACGGCCGGGUAAUACCGCGUACGACCUUCGGGUGGCAUCACCUGGGGGUGAAAGCAGCAAUGCGCCGAUGGAGUGCCUCGCGGCCUAUCAGCUAGUUGGUGAGGUAACGGCUCACCAAGGCGACGACGGGUAGCUGGUCUGAGAGGAUGAUCAGCCACAUUGGGACUGAGACACGGCCCAGACUCCUACGGGAGGCAGCAGUGGGGAAUAUUGGACAAUGGGCGAAAGCCUGACGCAGCGACGCCGCGUGAGUGAUGAAGGCCUUCGGG
Molecule: ribosomal RNA, 342 nt
Filed under: uncultured bacterium
Lineage: Bacteria
Description: bacterial SSU rRNA
Rfam family: Bacterial small subunit ribosomal RNA
Source: RNAcentral